AGCUUCGAGUUUUUCCAAGCAGUCUGGGGUAGAGCUAAGAGCAUGCACUCCGGAGUCGUUCAGAAUUUCAAACCUCAUUGCUGCCAAGUCUUCACCAAGUGAUCCUGGACAAGUCACCAACCUAGUGCAGACUCAGUUUCCUUCUCUAAGGUGGAGAUAACACCACUCAUCUUGUCUUGUUGAGAGCAUUAGUGAUAUUACCACCUAAGUAUCAACACUUAAAAAUUUGUUAAUCUGAUCGGGAAUCUUUUAAAAACAUGUUAAACACUUCCUUCUUGCCUUCCUAAACAGUCAAGGGAAUAUAACCUUUUCUUGAUGACUCAGGGUCACAAUUACCAGCAAAGCAUCAAUUAUCAAAAUGAUGAUCUCCACAUGGGCCAAGGUGUGUCAGGCCAUCCCCCGAAAUAAAUGACAGCCAGCUCUUACACCAAUACCAGCUUUACACGAUGUUUAGAUCUCCACCCAUCUGUCAACUCUCAGUGCACUGUGGUCAUUUCUCCUCUCCAUGCCAGUCUCUUUACACUCUUCCCUUUGCUGCUUCCUUUCGGUUGGGGGCUUGGAAAUGGGAUGACAAAGCUUAUAUAUAAAAGCUAAACAGGGCCUGAGGAGGCUAGUGUGAAAAAAAUGUAGGAACUUGAGUCCUGGCUAAUGUGAGGCCUUCUUUGCUCCAUAGAGAGAAGCAAGGCUGCGGGUGACCAAGUCCUGAAUAGGGCAGGAGAGGUGUUAUGGAAUAUUAUGUGGGACACAUUAUGGGACGAACUAUAUUUGAGACUAUAAGCACACCCUACUGUCCACUUUGGGCCCAACUUGCAUGGUGGCAAACUCUGCAGUAGGCCUGGGAGCACUGGUCCCAAAGACCCCAGGCAUCCUUUUGCUUUUCCAGGCUGCAGGAAGACAGGGCUGCCUAGCCCUCUGCCAGUGCAGCUGACCACAGGUUAACUUCUCAGUAUCUUAUAACCUAGACACUUUCAGGCAGGAAGAGAACAUUUGUGAAGAGGGUGAAAAUUUCUUUAAUUCCUAAGGUUUCAUCACACAAUAGGGCUUUACUCAUGCAACAAACAUUUUUUCGCAUGCAGCAAGCACUGGAGAUGUAGAAAUGCAGAGGGCAGAUAGAGGCUGCAAGAACACUGGUUCCCUUCUCCUUUCAAUAAACAUUUGCCACCUAUUGCUCAAGAACCUCUGAGAGUGACACAUACACACAGAGUCUUGCAGCCUGGGGAGUAAAGGAUAUGAGUUUUUAAGAGCUUCCAGUAUGUAUAGAACCCAUCUCUCCUCUCAGGAUCCUGUUGCCACAGUAAAACAGACUUCACUCCUCACUGCUCUUGCCUCCCUCCCUGCCUUCUCAACCAGACUCCCGCAGCAAUCAAAGUGACUUCAAGGACCCUCAAACUGCGCUUCCCAAAGGCUGCACGGACAGCCACCACUGUACCCAUUGGAACCUUGUUCUGGUCCUGUGUUCAGCCCUAGAGUCUGCUCACCAUGAAACAGUUUGAAUGCUUAACAAUCUAUUCUCUGAGCUUAAACAAGGCUGCCUCCCCAAAAGCCAGCCAAGAGAACUGUAAAUAGCCCCACUCUCCCUUUGCUUGCAUUGCCAGAGGGCAACAGCCCACCAGGGCUGGGCUUGCCCCCACCCCAUGGCCUUCUUCCCCCUAACUCCAUGGGACAAAAGCUGGAGCAGAUGAGAUCACCAGGCCCCAGUUAUUCUCAGGAUGGGACCCCAGUGCAAGCCCAUCACGCCCAGUUGGUGACACUCUCUACUGUUCUGGAUGCUAUGUGGGAACAACGAUGAGUCAAGCAGAGAUCCUGCCUUCAGAGAGCUUCUGAUCAAAAUAAGAAGAGAGACCCAGUUAAUAAGGCCAGCCUUUACCCCAGACAGCUAACACCAGAGGGGCUGCCAGUGUCUCUAAAUGCACCUGCCUAGGAUCACAGGUUAGUUGACCUGCCCAGUUUCUUUCUCCUCUGACUUGAGGUCGCCCCACAUCACAAACAUGCCCCAGCUCUUCAGAGCCCUAUUUGCCACUUCCUCUGAGGCCAGAUUAUAUCUAGCUUUACUGGGUCUCCAGGCACCAACAGGCAGGCCUGGAAAGUGCCUUCACCACAGGGCCUGCCUGGCUGUCCUGCAUGUGCAGCGGGGCCCUCAGGGGGAGUGGUCUGGCUGAUGACCACUUCCCUGGGCCUCACCCUCCACUGCCCAUCCCUGCUUCCUGAGCCAGGGCAGGGUCCCCAGGAAACCACUCACCACAGCUUUUGACAGCAGUCUUUCAGAUCAGGCCCCUCCCUUUGAGGUCUGUGGUUCCAGCUGAGAGGGGAAGAGACUCCUAGAUUGGCUGGUGGAAGCAGCGCAGAGCUGAGCAGUCCAAGUCCAGCCAGACCCGGAGAUCUCUUAGUGUCUGUGCAUUCUACUACUCUAAAUUCUGGUCCACUGCAGCUUCUUCCAGGGCUGCCUCUGAGCCUCCAUCAGAAUCCUCUCACCACCUCUGCAGGCCUCCUAGAACACCUCCACUCACCAUCUGCCCAGCUCUCUCGAGCCCCUCCCUCAUUUUCCCCACCUCUUCAUCCCCCUUGGGAGCAUAACUUCUCUACAGGACACUGGGGGAGGGGCGGAGAGCCUUCCAGCUGUGAGGCAGAGUGGAGAGGCCAGGGAUGAAGGUGUGAUUCAUCAGGGCUGGUUAAGAAGCAGGGGGAAUUCCAGAGCAAGGGAGGGUCAAGGCUGCCCCCAGCUCACCCUGUCCCCCCCAGGGGAAGCAGCACACACCUGGGCGCCCUGCAUCCUCAACCAUCAGAAAUCUGGGGUAGGAGAGAAAGUCUUACUAACUAGAAAGUCUGCAUGAACCAGAGUUUCUAUUUUCAUCUCCCUCUAAUUCUCCACUCCUGCCUAAUGAAAUGAAAAGCUUUCAUCUAGAGUCCUUAGCAAAGCCAUUAAAUAUCUUGAGGCACCCCUGCAGAACUUGGUUAGAGAAACAAUAAAAGAGGAUCAUUUAUUGAACAUCUCUGUGGGCUUUGCUAAGCACUUAAUAUAUGUUAUCUCAUUGUUCAUUCUCACAAUACCAUAUGUGGUAGGUAUGAUGACUAACUCCAUUUUACAGGUGAGAAACACAGGCUCAAAGGAGUUGAGCACCACAGGGUUAGCAAGCUGUCAGGCUGGGAUCUGAACCCAGGUGCGUCCAACUGCAAACCCAGCUCCUCAAGGCCACAGUGUGUUGCUUGAACUGUGUUUCAAGAAAGGGAUAUCAGAGAUGAAGGGAAAUACCUCCUCCAGGCAUGACCUCAAUGGUCCUUUCCUGGAGACACUUCCCAGGCCACCCCAUCUAAACGCCAUCUCACCCCUUCUAAGACAAUUCACAUCCACCUUCCCCAUCAUAUUUUUCUGCUUAUGACUAACAUGUUUUCUAUUCCAAUUAUCCGUCUUGCUUAUUGUCCACUUCCCCACUAGAAGUCAGCUCCAUGAGGUCCAUGAUGGCUAUAUAUUUUGCAUAUGCUGUGCCCCUGCAUCUGGCCAGCUCUAUUCAUAUACAGUAAGUGCCAAAUAAAUAACUGUUGAAUGAAUGAAUGAAUACUUUAAAAUAGAACUAAGAGGCAAGUGUGUAGGAAGAAAACAAAGAUGAUCCAUCCAUUCAGGGGAAGCAAGAAGAGAUAAGAAAAGUCAGUGAGAGAAUCUGGCCGGGGCAAGUCGGGGGCCUCUGGAAAUGAGGAUCCUUCCUGCUGGCAGUAGUGAUUUCCAGCUUCCAGGUCCCAGCUUGAGGGCUCCUGCCAGGGAAGCAGGGCGGGCUUACAGCCCUGGGACAAAGGCCUUUGGACACGCAGCUGGCCAGAGAGGCGGGACAGAGCCGGAGCAGCGGCCUGGGAUGGGGGAGGGAGACAAAUGAGGAGCUGAAGACAGUCCUCAGUGCAGCUGCAAAAGCAACACCCUCCCAACACCAGAGUGCCCUCAAUCUCCAACACAACAGAGAAUGGCUCUCGAUAGCUUCACAAUCAACUCUCCAAGGUCAGCGCCAGAGCUUUCACAAGGGUCUGAGAGGGCAGGUGGAGGUGAAGGGGCAAGCCACACAUCUGGAACACAGUCCCUUCUCCCCUCAGCCCUGGUCAUCCCUCACACCACGGCCUUUGGCCUCCCCCAGUGUAAACACAGUGACCCUGGGAUAGCUGGGGAUUUGGUAAGGCAAAUGUUUACUCAGGAGCUGAGAUAUUACAGGCCAGGGGUGUAGACUUCCACCAUUGGCUCCUGGUAUCUAUUAUGUCCUUAUGGCACACGUGGGACAUAUCCAGUAAAUCGUAAAGCUCUUGAGAGCCACUCUCAGCCACAGUGAGCCCUUUAUUUUGUCUAAGAGUUUAUGGAGCACUUUCCCCACAGUCCUUAACCACAGCCUCUAUGAGAAAGGGCAGGCAAGUACUCCACUUUACUUCGAGAGGAAACUGAAUCAGAAAAGAUCCGUGACUUGCCCAGGUGAUUAGGGGAAAAGCAUGGAUUAGACAGAGCCAGGAAGUCUGAGUUCUGGUCCCUAUUUGGCCUACGGGGACCAAGCUCAAUCCCCUCACAUCUCGGGCUCUGCUGCCUUCAUGUGUAAAAGGAGUAGGCUAAUCUCAGGUGCCUUCCAGCCCAGCGACUCUAUCAACCUUUGAGGCCAUGCAGCAGAGCCAGGACUAAAACCCAGGCAAAAAUGCUGUGCUGGACUCCCAGACCAGUGCUCUUCCCACUCUCCCUGAUGCCACUUCUAAUAAAAGGCAGUAGAAAAGCCCCCCAAAACAGCUCUUAAACAAUCCACUCUCUCUGCUUCUAGGACUUGGUUUACGCCAUGCCAACUCCCUGCCCCUUCCCAGAGCAAGAUGCCCAGGGAGCCGAGGAGUUGGAAGGGAGUGGGGGCAGCACGAGUGUGAACAGCAGGCACAGAAGGAGGAGUUGAGGCGUCCCCGGAGCCCAGGGAAGGGGCGAGUAACAAACAGAAGGGGUACACCUUUUUAUUCUCACUCCCGAGGUUUUCUGCAGGGAAUAGCUGGGGUGAAGUCAUUCCCACCUAAAUCACUCAGGAUUCCACUCCCAGGCCAGGCAGGGGGGGCUGGAAAGGCAUUUUCCUGAAGCGAGGCAGGUGACGUUCUCAGUGGGAGCCCGCUCCGGGCUGUCAUUACUCUCCCAGCUUAUUAUUUCUCGAGCAAGGUGGGUGUGACUGGGCUGCAUGCAGAGACAGGACAGGAGAGACUCUGACAAGCCCCAGUCCAGGGUUCCCUGUAGGGUGAUGCAGUCUGGGUCCCUCCUGGGGGCCCCAGACCAGAGGACAGGUCCCUUCACCUGACAACAGCUUAGCGAGUGACCUCAAGGAUGAAACUCUUCAGGCGGCCACUAACACCGCCCUCCGCCAGGCCACACCUCUCCAGCCUCCCACCAUUACAUUUCCCACUCCGUUCUUUCUUUUGUUUCCAAAAGCAGCUCCAAAGAAUAAAAGUUGCUACCUAAAAACGUCUUGAAAAUUUCAAGUUUACAUGCCUUAUCCUGGCUUUCCAAACCAAAGGGCUGAAGAUGGGGAGCAAAUUAACCAAACCGAUUUCAGGAGUGGGCGAGGUCGAGGUGCACUGUGGCAGCCAGUGAUCUCUGCGCUUUCGGCUCCCCGACACCCCAUUUCCGGCACCCACUCUACUCCCUCCAGCACAGGAGCUGAGAUUCCCAAGACCGAGCGCCGUGUGGCACCAACCCGGAACAGGCUGCGGGCUCCUCUUGGGCUCCCGGGACCAGAGGCUCGGGUCCUUCCCCAGAAGAGUCCACCCUGCCCAGGCCCACAGUCCGAGGCUGCGACCAGCCCGCGGGCAACCGAGCGCGCAGCGGGAGCGGGUGGGCGCACCUCGCGGCCUUCCCGGUUUCAAAAAAGAAUAACUGAGGAUGGCACCGGCACCGAUCUAGCAACUUAGCCAAGAUUACAUAACCAGCAAAAGCAGAGCCUGACAAGAUCCCAGAUCCAGCCAACUGCUGAGUGCUUACUAUGUGCCAGCCAUUAUUCUAAGCCCUUUAUAGGAACGAUUGCAGUCACAGAAGAAAGAAACUGAGGCACAGCUAGUGUGUGGUAGACCUGGGAUUUGUAACGGGAACGCUGCUCUUCACCACCUAUUCUGUUUUCUUUUUGACACUUGUUAUAUUUAGUUCAACACUUGAUUAUAAUGUCUGGCGUUGUUUCUAAUUGUUUUAAUCUAUAUAGCUUAUUUCCAAUAAAGAUCGCCAUCUUUCCUUAGGGCAGAAGUCACAGGAUGCACUCAGUAAAGCCAUGGCGAAUUCAGGUGAGAUAACCCAAACAGUUUGUGAGAAAUCACACCCUCUCACGUCUAAGACUCCACACCUCUGUCUGGGCCCAGGCGCUCUAGGACCCACAGCCUCUUCACAGCUCAGAGCCUCUUUUCUUCCUGCCCCUGUGGAUUCUUGCUUUAGUGGCCUCACCUUCCCUGCUCUUAAAUCAUUUAUUGUUAUAAUAAUACCCUGUGCCCCGGUAAUGCCUUUAAUCCAAGAUCUCAAAGUGUUCUAACCAAUACAGAUGAAUUCAUCCUCACAGUACCCGCACUGAGCUGGGGAGAUGGAGGUAUUCUCCCCCAUUUUAUGGGUGAGAAAACCGAGACAACACAGAGUCGGAAUGACUCACCAUGGAAAUCAAUGGCAGGGUUUCUUCUCCCAGUCCUUCCCCUCCUCCUUCCUAACUCUUCGCUGCCAACAUUUGCAUCAAAAUUUCAAAUCCCAGAGACAAAGGCCAUUGAGUUUUCACAAUAAAGGACAUUUCCAAACUGUCA
Long non-coding RNA from Equus caballus (horse), 6762 nucleotides. RefSeq lists it as uncharacterized. The record is from RefSeq and is a predicted model, not a curated record. Lineage: Eukaryota; Metazoa; Chordata; Mammalia; Perissodactyla; Equidae.